GGGCUGGGGCUCAGUGGCAGAGCACUUGCCUAACAUGUGUGAGGCACUGGGUUCGAUCCUCAGCAUCACA
RNAcentral lists this transfer RNA (70 nucleotides) under Marmota monax (woodchuck). Its description in RNAcentral is "tRNA.Val". Lineage: Eukaryota; Metazoa; Chordata; Mammalia; Rodentia; Sciuridae. The record is from RNAcentral.